UACGUGUGAGGCGAGCGUUAUUCGUCAUUACUGGGUUUAAAGGGUGCGUAGGCGGGUAAGUAAGUCCGUGGUGAAAUCUCUGAGCUUAACUCAGAAACUGCCGUGGAUACUAUUUGCCUUGAAUAUUGUGGAGGUGAGCGGAAUAUGUCAUGUAGCGGUGAAAUGCUUAGAUAUGACAUAGAACACCAAUUGCGAAGGCAGCUCACUACACAAUCAUUGACGCUGAGGCACGAAAGCGUGGGGAUCAAACAGG
This 253-nucleotide ribosomal RNA is filed under the name uncultured bacterium. Its description in RNAcentral is "partial 16S ribosomal RNA". It matches the Rfam family "Bacterial small subunit ribosomal RNA", at positions 524 to 776 of the family's 1533-position model. The record is from RNAcentral.